CUCACCUGGAGGAAGAAGGGAGGUGAGUAGAAGAAGCUGGGAAAUGCUACCCCAUAGCAGAGCUCCCUUUCCCAAUGGGUUUCCACCACUCUACCAGACAAUUGAUUGAAAGAACAGAGACCAACAGCCCUGCAAUACAGGUAAUCUCCACGAUCCAGGCACUGACCAGGCCUGCUGCGGAGCUCACACCAAAGGACAAGUACCUCAUUCGAACAGUUCAGGCAACAGAAGCCCCAGGCCCCAGGCCCCAGGCCAGUUAGUAUUCACGGCCACCUGUGAGACCUUGGCAGAAUUAAGACCUCUAGGCUGAAAUGUUAAUGAUGCCAUCUCCUCCACAGGCACAAGGUCAAAUAGAGAGCUAACAAGUGACCACAUGAACACCUUUCUGGCCUUCUUCCUUCCUGUUUAUAGACUUUGUUUCAUUUCCCCCUCCAAGAAGGACAAGGUAGAUAUCAUAAAUGUCCAAGUGCUGAAAAAGGGGUGUGGACAAAAAGAAGACUCCAUACAGAUGUCUCUCUAGCACAACUGGAAACCUACAUUAAAGACAAAAGUAUAUCAUCCCUCCUCCCUCCCAGUCUCUCAAGAGAGACCAGAAAAUUUCUGGCAAAUAAAAAUGGGAUGAUAUGAAGAACUAUAUAGGGCAGUUUUGAGGCAAGGCACAUAGGUGGGCAAAGGCUCUCAGGAUCCUGCUCUAGGGAGACAUCCUCCCCACCCAAUUCCAAGUUGUAUUCUUGCUUAAACUCCUUAGGGAACAAAAAAGGGGAUCUGACCCAGCUAUUUUCAGCCACUGAAAUGCAAUUCUGAGAGCUUGGGGCCUCUCUAAAGAGUGACUGUCCUGGAAGGUGAGCUGGGAUAGUAGCCAUCCAUGGCUCCAAGUCAAAGAGGCUCCUCACUUUUACUUGCAUAUGGUAACCUGGUCCAGGGUUUCUACAGAGCAGGGUCACAUGGACCCCAUAAUCUUUUCACCCCUCAAUGUCCUACAAGCAUUGCCAGAUGCUGAGCUUACUUCUACUCCCCAUGCCCAACUAUACUAGGUUCCUCUUGGAUGAAGCUGGGGUCUGGUUGUGUAUAUAACUUCCAUGGCCUGGGGCCACCAAACUCACCAAAAUGCACAUUCUUUCCGCCUGCCUCUGCCAAAACCUUAUUUUUAACAACAACAAUAAUAAUAGUAAUAAUGAUAAUAAAAAACCUAAAAAGCCUUCCCAGUCCUGCUGCACCCAAUCCCCCACCCCCUCUCAAUCCUCAUCCUUCCAGCCCAGGAAUCCAAGCAGGGACACACUUCAGGAUGACCUGGAACCUCAGAAAGACGACUUUCAAAAGACAACUUUUACGGGUCUCCCUUCUCCCUCAAACACGAGCGAGAGGUUUGUGAAAGACACAAUUUACAGUCUCAAAGCCAAAUAAUUUGGAUUUGGCCAAACUAAAUUAUUCCUUCCAAGUGUGAAUGAUGCUCAACUUAUAAAAUUAUGCUCAAUA
Molecule: non-coding RNA, 1476 nt
Organism: Ictidomys tridecemlineatus (thirteen-lined ground squirrel)
Lineage: Eukaryota; Metazoa; Chordata; Mammalia; Rodentia; Sciuridae
Source: RefSeq, a predicted model, not a curated record